This is a long non-coding RNA of Sycon ciliatum, 1360 nucleotides long. RefSeq lists it as uncharacterized. NCBI's taxonomy places the organism in Eukaryota, Metazoa, Porifera, Calcarea, Leucosolenida, Sycettidae. The record is from RefSeq and is a predicted model, not a curated record. The transcript has 2 exons.
UUCUGGGCGGAUGCGUGUUCUGCUUGCGGCCCUUCAUUAUUGUUAUUUUCUGGGAGUUUGAGUGACGCUCCGUCGCAAUCCGGUUGCGGAAGUUCAGCGCUUUCGUUCGUUACCUGCCAAUCGGCAGGUGGCGUUUAGAUUUGUGGGACAACCAAUCGUCCGGGUCAACGUUACCAGAAUAGCGGACGCCGGACAGGAACCACCCGGCCGUUAUCGGGAGCAGGUGCUUCUCCCUGGCUUGAAGUCAGUGAGCGUGCGGACAUGUUGGUGCCUGGAGUGGUGAAUGGAUGUCCAGUAAACGCUGUGAUUGAUACAGGAUCCGCCGCUACAUUGUUGUCAGAGGAUUUUGUCGACCGCCUACCUAAGGAGCUGGAAAAGAAAACCUCUGACCAAGGCCCGAAGUUAAUUGGUGCCAAUUGGCAACCACCGCCGCCCGAGACGAGGAGGACACCGCUCGGGUAUUUGACAGAGCUCCGCCAGUUGGCGUGAUGGAAAGGCGCCAUCCGCCCCAGCUGUUUGGGAGUCCUGUGUGGCACGAGUAAGUGACUUCAGUGGUACUGACUGGAUUGGUUGUGUUCGAUAUUACAGUUAAUUUUUGGAACAAUUUUGCUAGGGACUCCAAUUUGACCUGCACUCGUUUAGUGAAAAUUUAAGCCAUAAUCUUAGUCUAAUUUAUUAAGUUGCUUAUAACACGAGGACGUGUUCUUUUCCGUGUAAGCGGGGGAUAUGUCGUAUCCAUACUAUUGACACGCGCCUUUUAGGCCUCUACGUGACAAGUCUGCCUGAUUUAGGUGUCUAAUUAUUUAUCUAUCUCCCAUAAACGGAUUCAUAGUCGCCUUUAUUUUAUGUCUUCACACAAAGCCUGGCGCCUUCCAUAUUAUGUAUACCCUGUUUUUCCUUAGCUGGCUCCUGCUCUUUGUGAUACAGUUUAUACACAUUAUUGCUAAGUUUUGGUACACUGCGGCAUGCGGGUGUACUAUGGUUCAUUAUUUGUCUUAUACUUCGUAGAUCUACGGGGGAUCAGCCUCCUGUACGUAGUUACAUAUUAUGGCAAUCACCUUUCUCUCUGUUUCUCUCUCUCUCUCUGUCUCUGUCUCUCUCUCUCUCUCUCUCUCUCUCUCUCUCUCUCUCUCUCUCUCUCUCUCUCUCUCUCUCUCUCUCUCUCUCUCUCUCUCUCUCUCUCUCUCUCUCUCUCUCUCUCUCUCUCUCUCUCUCUCUCUCUCUGUCUCUCUCUCUCUCUCUCUCUCUCUCUGUCUCUCUCUCUCUCCCUUGCCUUCCGCCUUUAUGCGGAAGCUUCGGCUUUCGUCGCUCUUGCCUUGUGAACUAAGUUACCUUCGUUGAAGAUGUGAGUAAACCUGAA